GGACAAUGGGCGAAAGCCUGAUCCAGCAAUGCCGCGUGAGUGAUGAAGGCCUUAGGGUUGUAAAGCUCUUUUACCCGGGAUGAUAAUGACAGUACCGGGAGAAUAAGCCCCGGCUAACUCCGUGCCAGCAGCCGCGGUAAUACGGAGGGGGCUAGCGUUGUUCGGAAUUACUGGGCGUAAAGCGCGCGUAGGCGGCUUUGUAAGUUAGAGGUGAAAGCCCGGAGCUCAACUCCGGAACUGCCUUUAAGACUGCAUCGCUUGAAUUGUGGAGAGGUGAGUGGAAUUCCGAG
RNAcentral lists this ribosomal RNA (290 nucleotides) under uncultured bacterium. RNAcentral describes it as "partial 16S ribosomal RNA". It matches the Rfam family "Bacterial small subunit ribosomal RNA", at positions 366 to 673 of the family's 1533-position model. The record is from RNAcentral.